GAACGCUAGCGGCAGGCUUAACACAUGCAAGUCGAGGGGUAGCAGGGAGCUUGCUCCGCUGACGACCGGCGAACGGGUGCGUAACGCGUAUAGAAUCUACCUCUUACUAAGGGAUAGCCCAGAGAAAUUUGGAUUAAUAUCUUAUAGUAUGUUAACUUGGCAUCAAGAUAACAUUAAAGGUUACGGUAAGAGAUGACUAUGCGUCCUAUUAGCUAGAUGGUGUGGUAACGGCACACCAUGGCAACGAUAGGUAGGGGCCCUGAGAGGGGGAUCCCCCACACUGGUACUGAGACACGGACCAGACUCCUACGGGAGGCAGCAGUGAGGAAUAUUGGACAAUGGAGGCAACUCUGAUCCAGCCAUGCCGCGUGCAGGAAGACUGCCCUAUGGGUUGUAAACUGCUUUUAUACAGGAAGAAACACUCUCACGUGUGAGAGCUUGACGGUACUGUAAGAAUAAGGAUCGGCUAACUCCGUGCCAGCAGCCGCGGUAAUACGGAGGAUCCAAGCGUUAUCCGGAAUCAUUGGGUUUAAAGGGUCCGUAGGUGGAUAAUUAAGUCAGAGGUGAAAUCCUGCAGCUCAACUGUAGAAUUGCCUUUGAUACUGGUUGUCUUGAGUUAUUAUGAAGUAGUUAGAAUAUGUAGUGUAGCGGUGAAAUGCAUAGAUAUUACAUAGAAUACCAAUUGCGAAGGCAGAUUACUAAUAAUAUACUGACACUGAUGGACGAAAGCGUGGGGAGCGAACAGGAUUAGAUACCCUGGUAGUCCACGCCGUAAACGAUGGUCACUAGCUGUUCGAACUUCGGUUUGAGUGGCUAAGCGAAAGUGAUA
Molecule: ribosomal RNA, 829 nt
Filed under: uncultured Olleya sp.
Lineage: Bacteria; Pseudomonadati; Bacteroidota; Flavobacteriia; Flavobacteriales; Flavobacteriaceae
Description: bacterial SSU rRNA
Rfam family: Bacterial small subunit ribosomal RNA
Source: RNAcentral